This 405-nucleotide ribosomal RNA is filed under the name uncultured bacterium. Its description in RNAcentral is "bacterial SSU rRNA". It matches the Rfam family "Bacterial small subunit ribosomal RNA", at positions 370 to 772 of the family's 1533-position model. The record is from RNAcentral.
AAUGGGCGCAAGCCUGAUCCAGCCAUGCCGCGUGAAGGAUGAAGGCCCUAUGGGUCGUAAACUUCUUUUAUACGGGACAAAACCCCUCCUCGUGAGGAGGGUUGAUGGUACUGUAAGAAUAAGGGUCGGCUAACUUCGUGCCAGCAGCCGCGGUAAUACGAAGGACCCGAGCGUUAUCCGGAUUUAUUGGGUUUAAAGGGUGCGUAGGCGGAUUAGUAAGUCAGUGGUGAAAGCCCGUCGCUUAACGGCGGAACUGCCAUUGAUACUGCUAGUCUUGAGUAUGGUUGAGGUGGGCGGAAUGUGUCAUGUAGCGGUGAAAUGCUUAGAUAUGACACAGAACACCAAUUGCGAAGGCAGCUCGCUAAGCCAUAACUGACGCUGAGGCACGAAAGCGUGGGGAGCAAA